CUUGUGGCCAUAUCAAGUUGAAAUACCGGUUCCCUUACGAUCACCGAAGGUAAGCAACGGGGAGUCUGGUCAGUUCCUAGAUGUAUGAUAGCGUGGGAAUACCACGUACUGUAAGC
Molecule: non-coding RNA, 116 nt
Organism: Acanthosepion pharaonis
Lineage: Eukaryota; Metazoa; Mollusca; Cephalopoda; Sepiida; Sepiidae
Source: the annotation of a GenBank genome assembly